RNAcentral lists this ribosomal RNA (264 nucleotides) under uncultured bacterium. RNAcentral's name for it is "partial 16S ribosomal RNA". It matches the Rfam family "Bacterial small subunit ribosomal RNA", at positions 90 to 354 of the family's 1533-position model. The record is from RNAcentral.
UCUUAGUGGCGGACGGGUGAGUAACGCGUGGGUAACCUGCCUUAUACAGGGGGAUAACACUUAGAAAUAGGUGCUAAUACCGCAUAAGCGCACGGGGCUGCAUGGCCCAGUGUGAAAAACUCCGGUGGUGUAAGAUGGACCCGCGUCUGAUUAGCUUGUUGGCGGGGUAACGGCCCACCAAGGCGACGAUCAGUAGCCGGCCUGAGAGGGUGGACGGCCACAUUGGGACUGAGACACGGCCCAAACUCCUACGGAAGGCAGCAG